UCAAUGAUCAAACGACCAUUAGUUCACUACGGGCGCAUGCCCGAACCGAUCACGCCUUAUCAAAAAGCAGCCCAAGUUUGGGACGAACGCAUUGGAUCCGCCCGCGUGCAAGCCAAAAACUGGCGGCUGAUGGCGUUCGGGUGUCUCAUACUNUUCGGUUGUCUCAUACUGUCAGCCGGUCUCGCUGGUGGGUUGGUCUGGCAAUCAAGCCAUGNGCCCUGGGUGGUCGAAGUCGACCAUCUUGGCCAAGCCCAGAGGGUUGCGCCGGCCAACUUC
RNAcentral lists this unclassified non-coding RNA (276 nucleotides) under Hevea brasiliensis (rubber tree). Lineage: Eukaryota; Viridiplantae; Streptophyta; Magnoliopsida; Malpighiales; Euphorbiaceae. The record is from RNAcentral.